GUCCCUGCAGCGCAUUUAAUAGCGCGUUGGACUUGAAAUUCAAAGGUCAUGGGUUCGAAUUCCACCUGGGAUG
Trichonephila clavipes is the source of this 73-nucleotide non-coding RNA. NCBI's taxonomy places the organism in Eukaryota, Metazoa, Arthropoda, Arachnida, Araneae, Nephilidae. The record is from the annotation of a GenBank genome assembly.